UACGUAGGGGGCAAGCGUUGUCCGGAUUUAUUGGGCGUAAAGAGCGUGUAGGCGGCCCCUUAAGUCCUGCGUGAAAUCCUGCGGCUCAACCGCAGACGGUCGUGGGAAACUGGAGGGCUAGAGUGCGGGAGAGGAGAGUGGAAUUCCCGGUGUAGCGGUGAAAUGCGCAGAUAUCGGGAAGAACACCCGUGGCGAAGGCGGCUCUCUGGAACGCAACUGACGCUGAGACGCGAAAGCGUGGGGAGCAAACAGG
This 253-nucleotide ribosomal RNA is filed under the name uncultured bacterium. RNAcentral describes it as "partial 16S ribosomal RNA". It matches the Rfam family "Bacterial small subunit ribosomal RNA", at positions 524 to 776 of the family's 1533-position model. The record is from RNAcentral.